UGUGUAGGCGGCUCUCUAAGUUUGGUGUGAAAUCUCCCGGCUCAACCGGGAGGGUGCGCCGAAAACUGGAGGGCUAGAGUGCGGGAUGGGAGAGUAGAAUUCCUGGUGUAGCGGUGAAAUGCGCAGAUAUCAGGAGGAAUACCGGUGGUGUAGACGGCUCUCUGGACCGCAACUGACGCUGAAACACGAAAGCGUGGGUAGCAAACAGGAUUAGAUACCCUGGUAGUCCACGCCCUAAACGAUGCAUAUUUGGUGUAGGUCAUUCAGUUGAUCUGUGCCGGAGCUAACGCGUUAAAUAUGCCGCCUGGGGAGUACAGUUGCAAGGCUGAA
Molecule: ribosomal RNA, 330 nt
Filed under: uncultured bacterium
Lineage: Bacteria
Description: bacterial SSU rRNA
Rfam family: Bacterial small subunit ribosomal RNA
Source: RNAcentral